GAUGAACGCUGGCGGCGUGCCUAAUACAUGCAAGUCGAACGCAUUGAGAGAAGUGCUUGCACUUUUCAAUUUGAGUGGCGAACGGGUGAGUAACACGUGGGCAACCUACCUGAUAGCGGGGGAUAACGAGUGGAAACAUUCGCUAAUACCGCAUAACAAUAGAGAAGGCAUCUUCUUUAUUUAAAAGGCGCUUUCAAGCGUCACUAUCAGAUGGGCCCGCGGUGCAUUAGUUAGUUGGUGGGGUGAAGGCCUACCAAGACGAUGAUGCAUAGCCGAGUUGAGAGGCUGAGCGGCCACAUUGGGACUGAGACACGGCCCAAACUCCUAAGGGAGGCUGCAGUAGGGAAUCUUCCACAAUGGACGAAAGUCUGAUGGAGCAAGGCCGCGUGUGUGAUGAAGGCUUUCGGGUCGUAAAGCACUGUUGUAUGGGAAGAAAUGCUAGGCUAGGAAAUGAGCUUAGUUUGACGGUACCAUACCAGAAAGGGACGGCUAAAUACGUGCCAGCAGCCGCCGUAA
This 516-nucleotide ribosomal RNA is filed under the name uncultured bacterium. RNAcentral's name for it is "partial 16S ribosomal RNA". It matches the Rfam family "Bacterial small subunit ribosomal RNA", at positions 28 to 523 of the family's 1533-position model. The record is from RNAcentral.